UGCCGCGUGAAUGAUGAAGGUCUUAGGAUUGUAAAAUUCUUUCACCGGGGACGAUAAUGACGGUACCCGGAGAAGAAGCCCCGGCUAACUUCGUGCCAGCAGCCGCGGUAAUACGAAGGGGGCUAGCGUUGCUCGGAAUUACUGGGCGUAAAGGGAGCGUAGGCGGAUAGUUUAGUCAGAGGUGAAAGCCCAGGGCUCAACCUUGGAAUUGCCUUUGAUACUGGCUAUCUUGAGUACGGAAGAGGUAUGUGGAACUCCGAGUGUAGAGGUGAAAUUCGUAGAUAUUCGGAAGAACACCAGUGGCGAAGGCGACAUACUGGUCCGUUACUGACGCUGAGGCUCGAAAGCGUGGGGAGCAAACAGGAUUAGAUACCCUGGUAGUCCACGCUGUAAACGAUGAGUGCUAGUUGUCGGCAUGCAUGCAUGUCGGUGACGCAGCUAACGCAUUAAGCACUCCGCCUGGGGA
Molecule: ribosomal RNA, 466 nt
Filed under: Caulobacter sp.
Lineage: Bacteria; Pseudomonadati; Pseudomonadota; Alphaproteobacteria; Caulobacterales; Caulobacteraceae
Description: bacterial SSU rRNA
Rfam family: Bacterial small subunit ribosomal RNA
Source: RNAcentral